RNAcentral lists this ribosomal RNA (497 nucleotides) under uncultured bacterium. RNAcentral describes it as "partial 16S ribosomal RNA". It matches the Rfam family "Bacterial small subunit ribosomal RNA", at positions 28 to 507 of the family's 1533-position model. The record is from RNAcentral.
GAUGAACGCUGGCGGCGUGCCUAAUACAUGCAAGUCGAGCGAACAGAUGAGGAGCUUGCUCCUCUGACGUUAGCGGCGGACGGGUGAGUAACACGUGGAUAACCUACCUAUAAGACUGGGAUAACUUCGGGAAACCGGAGCUAAUACCGGAUAAUAUAUUGAACCGCAUGGUUCAAUAGUGAAAGACGGUUUUGCUGUCACUUAUAGAUGGAUCCGCGCCGCAUUAGCUAGUUGGUAAGGUAACGGCUUACCAAGGCAACGAUGCGUAGCCGACCUGAGAGGGUGAUCGACCUCACUGGAACUGAGACACGGUCCAGACUCCUACGGGAGGCAGCAGUAGGGAAUCUUCCGCAAUGGGCGAAAGCCUGACGGAGCAACGCCGCGUGAGUGAUGAAGGUCUUCGGAUCGUAAAACUCUGUUAUUAGGGAAGAACAAAUGUGUAAGUAACUAUGCACGUCUUGACGGUACCUAAUCAGAAAGCCACGGCUAACUACGUG